CCAAUGGAUGGAUGGGGAUGAAACCCUAGCCCAACACCCACCCAUGGAUGGAUGGGGAUGGGGCGGCGGCGGCGGCCUUCUCUCGGUGCUUGCUGAUGUGGUGGACAUCGACUUCGGUGACGGGUUGCAGCACGUAGACAUCAAAGGUACUGACACCCUCCAUCCUCAAGGUUUCUUCCCCUCGCGAUGUUGCUUUGUAGGUGGCCAGGAUCUCCGCGGUUGGCAUCGGCAUCGGCGUCGUCUACGGCUCUGUCAGGCUCGACAUCCUCAAGGUAACGCUCCAAAUCCCCCAACCCCACGCUCCAAAUCAUUCUCAUUUUUGCACACGGGAAAUAUUCAGGGAAGGCACUUUAGAUGCAAAAUACUGAGAUGCUUUCUGCUUGAAAACUAUAGUCAAAAGUUGAUUCACAAAAGUUCAGAAGUUCAGUCCAGAUGCCAAGGCAUGCUUAGCAUCUCAUAGUCAGAGGCUAUCCCGUCUCAACAUUGCACCUAUGCAGGUUUUCAAUUUAGGAGAUGAUUUGCACCUAUCCAUUUACUCUAAUGUAUUACAUACUAAUCCUUUUGGAGGCAAUAACGGAAGAAAAAUCUGUUGAUGUCUCCACGAGUCAAGUUAUAUAGCCGUUUCUGACUUGAAGGAAUAUUUGUGGGAUUUCAAUCAUUAGGAAGUUAGAGGGCAUCUGCAGCUUGGCAAAGUAGAUGUUGUUGACAUCAAUUAUUAAUUGUUAUUUUAUAAUGUUCCAUCAUUUUGUUUUUACACUUUUUUGCAGGCACUAGCAAUGUUUUACCAUUGACAGAGCAUUGUGAAUAUGGUAACAGACUACUUGGGUGUUCUGAAAUCGAAUUCUGUAUAUAAUAUAAGUAUAUUCCAUGACAUGUGCUGCUGCUUCCGAUUAGAUACAAUAGCUUCUCUCUUUUUUAUCGUACAGCUGAGAUCUUCAUUACAUUACAACCUUAUGUUUUGCUUUUUUUAAUUGAAAUUGGUGUUCUCUCUCUAGGUUAAUGGAUCAUCCUGGGAAUGGACUAUGGAAUGGCAAACUAACAGGGCACAUCGCACAACUGGUAUAAAUGUGUCAAUAUGUUGCAUUUCAAGGCAGUUUCACUCGUAAAUACUACUCCAUCCGUCCAAAAUAAGUGCUCAACUUUGUACUAACCUUAGUAUAAAAUUGUACUAGAGUUAAGACACUUAUUUUUGGGAUGGAGGGACUGCANNNNNNNNNNGAGGAUGUAGAAGUGAAAUUUACUAAAAAUUUAACCUACGUUUUCCUUGAGAAGGUUUAUAAAAUUAUAAGACAUAAUUUGAUGAAAGAGAUAUCUCUACUUCUUGGUGUUGCAUCAAGGCCUUGAUAUUGGACUAGAAUGCUUAUGUUUUAUAAAAAAGACAAACCUCGUGCAUUUGUUUUGAUUGCAACAUCUUUUGUAGUCAUCAAUAGUAAUACGUCAAGUACUGUUUGAUCAUUUUUAGGGUAUUGUCAAUCUACUUACAGACCACUUGCGUUGGGCAAGAGGGUUCUGCUGCGGAGACCAAGAAAAAGGAUGGGAACAUUGGGGACGCCUCAGCUGCCAUCGAGGAACACAACUCGGAACAGGAAAGCUCCACGCGAGGCUCCCCUGGCUGCCGAGCAUCUCUGAGAAGCCCAAAAUGAUAUGAGAUGAUGUCAUGGUGAUCGAUAGUGCCACGCAGGUUAUGCCGGAGACCAUCAUGUUCCCUGUCAAGCUCUUCCAGUUCUUCACCGGUGAGGCGGCUCUAAAAUCUUUGAUUUCAUGUCAAUUAAAAAUAGUUUGUAGGUGUGUUGGUAGUGGCACACAAAACUGAAACUAAAAUCUUCUUGCAUAAGCGCUGGAUGUUAUUGAGAGUAUUAUUACAUAUUGAAUUUAAUUCCUUUCUUGCACCCACAGUUGAGCUAAAGCUCUAAACUGCUCACUCGCACCUGAUCAGGAUUUAGUUGUAAAUUGUUACCACCGUCAAAUUAAUUAAUAUGAAGCCAGCAAUUGCUGGGUACCAGAGGAAUUAUGUUGUUCUAAAUAAUGAUUCCUAAACUACGAUGUCUGUGUGGUGUUAAUCUUUUGGGAAAGGAUUUGGAAGCUGGAUAGACACUGGUCAAGAUGAUAGGAGCAUAUACUCAAUAAAGAAAUUAGUUUAAUUGUGGCAGAAAGCAUGAUUACAGACAUUAAUUAGUUUAAUUCAGUACAAAAUUUUGGGUAUCGUUAUUAGUGGUUCAUGACUGAAAACUUGUUUGAAAUUACUAUCAUGUGCAGAGAUUCUGCCAGCAGCAAGCGAGGUCAUCUCCUUCUUAGACCAGUACUAAGGACCGCCGUUAUGUGGAUCCAUUUUACAUGCAAAUGUCGAGCCCAUCAUAUCGUGUUCGACCCAUGAACUGGAAGGAUUGCUUGCCAUUAUGUGGUAUAGUUGUCCUUUGAGAUAUAUUGCUGUUUGUAUGAAUUAUGAGCUUCUCUGUGUCUAAAUUGUACUCAAAUAGUCUUCCAGAAAUCUUGUUUUUAUCCACUUUGGAGUAACUGUUCGUUGCUUGAAAUUCCACUUUUAUCCACUUUUGGAAUAGUGAUUACAUCUGAGAUGUAGUAGCGUUAGUUUUGAUGUGAGAUAAAUGCCUGCACAUUUUACUGUUUCUCUUAUGUAUUUUCGAAACGUA
This 2648-nucleotide long non-coding RNA is filed under the name Triticum aestivum (bread wheat). Its description in RNAcentral is "long non-coding RNA (TAES_LNC023442)". The record is from RNAcentral. Lineage: Eukaryota; Viridiplantae; Streptophyta; Magnoliopsida; Poales; Poaceae.